CUUCAUUAAAAACUCUACUAAUAAAAUUAAUUAGUAAUCAUCACUUAUACAAAAUCCUUUUAUAAAAGAUACACCUUUAAUUUAAAUAAAACAACAACAAAUAAAUACUUUAUGAACCCUUCCCCGUGUCAUAACCAGAGCGGAGCUUUCACCAACAACUCGAACACCAACAAACAUACAACCUGAGAACCUUAACCACCAACGGUUCAACACAAACACAAAACAGAGGUUAGAUAACAUAAUUAUUAAAAGUGACUGAAUAUAACGCAUAUGAGACACUGAAUAAAAUAAAUACAAUUGAGUAAAUUCAACUCAUACAAUCACCACAUAUACAGACAUGUAUUAGACAUAUUCAUUUAUCAAUUACUCGUCACAUUUGAGAAGUAAAAACUCUCGAACAAAGAAAUGAAAUACACAAUGUCGAGUAACAUUUAACAUUUAAGAAUGUCACAUAAUUUCUAAUGCAUUUUAAUGUCACAUAGAUAUGAUGUCACCUAGACAUAUCUAUAUGCAUGUGGUAUCAAUUCAUCGUAAAUCUUGGAUAACUUAACCCAAGUGUUUUAGAUCAUCGUCUCUAAAACAUUAUAGAUCAUCGUCUAUAGAAUAACAGUAAACUAGAUCAUCGUCUCUAGGAUACUCAUCAAUAGACUCAACUUAUGAAUGCAUAAAAUGUGCAUCUACCAAACAUAUGGUUUUAUCGCAACUAUAACAUCAACAUAAUAUGGAUAAAAUAAUUCAAAUAUUCUAAAUCAUCAUCUUUAGAAUACCUCUACCCAUGAUAAAUCAUCAUUUAUCAUCAUCAAUAAAUCAACAUCAUAAUCAAUAACAUUAUGAAUCAUCACUAAUACAUCAUCACGUAAUCACACCAAUCUUCAAUAAGAUUUAUUUAUCAAUAAUUCACCAAUCAAAUCAUAAUACACUAUCAUUUAUCAGCAACAUGAUUAUCAUCAUCUAUCAACAACCUAAUCAUCAUCAUUAAUCAACAACAUAUUCAUUUACAAGACACUAAAGUCUCACACCAUCAAAGGUUCACCAAUUUCAAUUAAUUAUACGAAAGUUAUUUUAAAUUAAACUAAUGCCAAAAAUAUAGGCAACAUCAUUAUACAAGCAUAAUCUCAGAAAAUGGACUCCGAAACCGAAAUCUACGCAAAAAACCGAGCAAAAUAAGUUUCGAUAAAAAAAGUAGACAAAAAGUCAACGGUUACAAGUCAACAGGUAGCGUCGGCCAAUUUUCGACGCAAAGCUGCAGAAUUGCAGAAAAAACAUGUUUUGAAUACGGGAUUGUUCAAAAAUCACUUAUCUUUAAAACUACACAAAUUGAACUCAGCUUUAAGGAAAGUUUUGACAAGUGUUAAACUCACAGGCACUCAUAGCAAAUCUUUGCUGGACAAAAUGCCAAAAACUUUACUUCUUCUGGGCAAUAUUUUGAAUUGUUUUUCCCUCCUCUUCUGUUCUGCGAUUUUGGGCCAAAUACAUUGAGUCCAACACAAUCUGGCCCAGCAAUGCCCAUUCCUUGAAAGAAGAAAAGCUUCAGCCAAACAAAAAAAGACAAAGAAGCAGAAGAACCGUCCCUUUCACGACAGAUUUGCAAGCUAGAAUCCAAAAACUUCAAUUAGGUUGGAAUCAAUUUCAAAUUUCAAAUCCUCCCUCUCUUCAAUAUCAUAACUCACUUUUCUUUCUCAUGGAUUUCAAUUCUUCUCUCAUCAGCUCUCUCUCAUCCUCUCUGAUAUCUUCACCACCACCAACACCUUCGCUGCCGUCACUUUCUUUCUCAUUGAUUUCAUUAAGUUAUCUUCUCAAUUAAAUCCUCCACUAGGUAACAAUUUUUUUUUCUCUCUUUGUUUUCACUUUGUUACAAAUUAACUUACAUUGAGUUUAGUUUUUUUGUCACAGAUUCACUUCCAUUGUAAAUCUUCAGGUAACAGAUAAUUUAGGAUUCGUCAAUCUGUAAGUAAUCCCUUUUUAUCUUUUAUAUGGUUUCUCUAAUUUAUGGAUUACAUUCAUCUCAUGUUUUGAAUUUUUUUAUUCAUCCCCUGUGUUAUUACAUUGUUUGUUCUUUAAUUCAUAUUGUUUCUAUUUUAUUGAUAAAUUUGGAAUACAAUGAUUUUCAUGAUUAUUAUUUGUAUAUUUGGAUUCAGAAGUCACAAAACCUUAUGAAGAUACUUUUGUAUGGAUUUGAUGUAUAAGCAUGAAGGUUUCUUCAACUUCUUCAUAUAGAAAGGUUUCAACUUGCUUCUCAAUCACUUCCUUAUUUCAUCAUUUGAUUUCAUAUUCUGAUUUUUUGUUUUGGAAUGUUAUUGUUUGUUCAGGUUCCAAUAUUAGGGUUUGAUUAAGUAAGUUUUAUGAACUUUAAUUGAUUGUAUUUGAGUAGUAUUUAGCUGAUGUUUAUUGUUUGAGUAGUUAUGUUUUUGUUUUAAUUUUCGAUUCAGAAUUCAAUAUUAUUAGAAAGUUUAUCAAAUUCAGAAUUUAGGUACUUUGUAAGCAUUAACUAUACCAUGCAGAAUGUAAACAUAUAGGUACUUUGUAAACAUAGCCUUGUGAUUAAGUUUCUCUACUAUAGGGUUUAUCAUCUAUAAAUACCUAAUAAUCUGUUAAAGUUUACACCAAAAUAUGGUAUUUCAAUCACCCUACAUCUCUGGAAAAAAAAAAUCAUAUUAUUACUUUGUUUUGUUCUUUUCUUAAUUUCUUUUAUUUCUUUUUUGUAGUUGGGAGGUUGAAAGAAAGGAUUAGGAAGUAGAAAUACAAUUUGGAACCCACUUAUGUGUUUGGAAAAAGAAUGGAUGUUGAGGUGUGCUUUAGGCCUUUGUAGUUGGCUUUAUUUGUGUUUUGUUGUCUUGGUGUUGUUAUGAGUUUUUCCUUUUUCUCUGUCAUGUGCUUUUUAAGUUUUACCAAUCCCACUUAUGUUGUUUGCCUCAAACAAUUUUUGUUUCUAGCCAAAUUUGCAACCCAUGUUUCUUCUUCCAUGAAAUUUUUAUGUUAUUUCUCAAAUAUUUAAUACAUGAAUCAAUGUUCAAUAACACAAAAGUUUGAUGAAGAUUUAUUUGAAAAAAUGAGAUUCACAUGAUCAAAAGCAAUGAUUCAAUAUAUUUGUGUUUUGUUCUUUUUGUUUUCUAUGAUUCACAUGUUUUAUAUCCUUCACUUUACUUGGAUCAAUAGCAGUCCAUAACAUCUUGAUUCCAAGAUUUUGAUAUUUGAGAAAUAUUGUAGAGUAAAUUCACGAGCAAAAAAUAAAAAAAAAUAUUAGAUUUACUGAAUUUUUAUUGUUCAAAAUGUAUCUUUUUGUUCUGUUUUUGGAUUUUGCCCCCUACCACGCUUUAUAGUAUUGAGAGAUUGCAUGACAAGGUGACAUAGUUCUUAAUCAUGGUUUUGUCAUUAUAUAUAAAUAUUAGUUGGUGGAUAAUAUGCUUUCUUAAUCUACAAGUAUUUGUUGAUUCGAUUUGUUCCCCUUCACUUAACAGAGUUAUUGCCUAGGGCAUGAAUGGGGAGAAAAGAAAGUUAAGAGUCAUGCACAUACAUAAUCCUUGCUUUGGACCUAUUGGUGUUGGUCAGGUUGAGCUUCAUUUUCUUUUUAUUCGUUGAAGGGACAUUUCAUGGUUAACAGUAGUUUAUUAAAAAAUGUUUUAGUGAAGCAUAUGUUAGAUAGACAUAGAAGUGUAAGAAAUCUGGUGAAAUUAAACAACUACUAUAGGCAUGUGCAUAACAUAUGCAUGGUUAUUAUUAUUUUUUAGCUUGGAUUGAGAAAAAAAACUCUUAAAGGCUUGAUGUAUUAUCCGGAUUGAACAACUACAAACACAAAUAAUCUUUUUUUUGGAGUCACACAAUAAAAGAUUCAGCUUGGUUUCCCAAUGCCUAUUUCAAAAAAAAGAUUAAAUUGAUAUCUUCACCACACAAACCUAUAAUUACAUGACAUUAUUAAGCCUUUUAUUUAUUUUUUAAUUGUAAUCAGGUUAAAAAAAUUCUGAUUUUAUUUUUCUUUUGCAGUCACGCAAUAAUGAAGAGGUUUGGUUUUUUUCUCUUUUUUCACAUGUGCAUAGACAUUAGCCAUUAACUAACUAGGAAUAGUGACUGUUAGUUUGAUUUAAUCUAUUAAGAUAUGUCUUAUUAGUAGGAAAUUUUAGUUAGUGCUUCAUUUGCAUGAACAAACCUUCCUAUUAUUUUUUAACCAUAAACACAUAAGUUGAUAAUUUCAAAAUUAGCCUUUGUUGAUAUAUAGCACCUUAUUGAAAAGGAACUAAUAUGCAUCAACUCUGUUUUGGAGGUUGUGGUUUAAUUUCAUGCCUUGAGUACUUUGUCCGUUAAAAUAAUUUGUAUAUAUAUGGUAUGAUUUGCACCAGUGUAUCUUAUAAUAAGAUUUGAACCAUGUCUUUCAUAAACUUGAUUACGGUUCCUUUUGCAGGUUCUACUAACCGAAAUUAAUUCAAGGUUUUUCAUUUUACUUGAUAAGAGACUUUUGGUUGUGGAAAAAGGCUUUGCUACACCGCUGCUACAAAUAUAAGCAACAACAGCAGAAGUGAGAGAUGAUGGAGUUUGAAUGGUCACAUUUAGGUAAGUUGAACUUUUUUUGGCUUUGUCCGUUUAUGUUAACCUCAAACAGUCACAAAGAUGAACAUUUGAAUUCACAUGGUUCAAGAAAACUCAUUGAUUUCUCUGUAUGACUUAUCUGUUAAUUGAAUCUUUGGAAUGGUUCUUGAAUUAAUUCGGAGGUUAAUGAGUAAUGGAAUUUACAGGCGGGGUAGAAUCUUUUACCUAAAUAAAGGAAUAUAUUUAUCACACUAUAAGUCACACUAACUAAAUGAAUAUAUUUAAUCGAUGUUGGUGCCUUUAUCACAUAAAUCAUUCUCCUCCAUUUGCUACAUUUCAUUUUUCUCUUCAAUUUUUUGUUUGUGGUCCUUUUGUCACACUAUAAGUGGAUCGCUUUUAGUUUGGUAUUUUUAUUUUUAUUUACAUAGAAGGAAUUAUUGUAAUUCUUUGAAUUUCUUACUAUAGCGAGUUAGUGAGGUGCAUAGCUUGAUUGUAUUUGAAAACUCCUCAUUAGACGUUGAAGUUAAUAUCACUUUAAGUCAUUUACAGCCACUUCAAAUCUGGUUUUGUGCACACAUAACUGAUUUUGUUUUAUACCUGGCAGAGAAUUCUAUGGAGAUCGAAACUUAAAUGAGAAACAAGUUGAGAUUCUUAGAAUUACAUCAUUAUCAUUUUCAGAGGUAACCCUUAUUUCUUUCUAUUUUCUUUCACUUCAUUAUUUAUAAAAAUAAAGUAACUACUGUGUUGUCAAGGAUUUGCAUUCUCCAAACUUCAUGUACAGUAUUAUAAAAGAAUAACACAUUAGACUCUCAAUGCAUUUCUACUCAUACUGUACUCAUUUAUAUUGUAUCAGAUUAGAUAAUGCAAUGAUAUAUUUCUAUUUUGCUACAUUAGGCUUUCAUGAGUCUUUUGUAACUUAAAAUUGCAGCCUUUAUUUUUGUUUUAAAUAUGACUAGCCAUUUGUUGUUGAGAAAUUUUCAUAAAGAAAUAAGUUAAGAAUGCAAAUUGAUUUUAAGGUAUACUUUGGUCCAGUUCUAUGUAGCAUGUUUUGAAUAAGAAUUUAUGCUUAGGAAUUUAUACUAAUCUUUUUCCACUAUGUUCAUUCUCUAAAGUUUGUAGACAAUGUUUUGUUCCUUUACUUUCGCAACUUUCAUUUGUUAAUUGACUAUUUGAUCUGCAUAUAUUUUGAUGAUAACAUAUGAUUUCAAAUCCUAUAUGCUCUAAGUAAAAAAGGCUUAAAUCUGCUCAUUUCCAGUUUGCAAUAUCAUUUUGUUUUGGUUGUUUAACCAUGUUUUAAUUUCGAGUUUGUGUCUGAACUAACAUAAGUAGUACGAUGUUUUGGGAGUUAUUUUGAUGAUUGCCUUUUUCUGCUGUUUUUGACCAAAUUUUACAGAGCAUAUCAUACAGAAAAGAUUAGAAAGGAAAGAGCAAGAAGAUUAGCUAAAGUCUGAGUGCAACUAGGAUAGAUACAAUUUGUAAUAAAUAUAAAACCCUUAAAUAUUGAAUAGAAUCACUUCAUUCCUACAUGUACGUAUGUUAGUUGUAGUAAUACCCUUAAAUUUGUAAUAAAUAUAAUACCCUUAAAUAUUGUUCAUUAAUAGUAUGUAACCUUAGUUGUAGUAAUAAUUUCAUUCUAUUUCUUAACAAGUAUAUUGAAGAAUAUUUAAAGAAGUACAUUUCCAUUUCUAUUAUCUAAGCUUAAUUUCUGCACAAAAUAUUUGAGAAUUACUGUCUCUCAUACCACAUUCUCACCAAAAGAACAUGUUAAUAUGUGAGAAAGACAUACAAGUACUGACGUUUUUCUUUUCUUUUUUGUAGUGUAGUGUAGGAUUACAAGUAUAUUAUCUUUUAAUGGAUAUAGAUAUAACUUAUAAGUCUACCAAUAUAAAAAUACUAAGAAAAUGAGGUAAGUGAAGCAUAGUUUUGUCUUCAUUUUUAAUUAUUUUUUUCUGAAAUUAAUGGAUUAGUUAUACAUCCAGUUAUAUGUAAAAGUUAGCAUAUUUCUAUUUUGAAAAAAUUUAUUUGGCAUAAUGUAAACAUUCACUUUGAAAAGGAACAAAGAGUAGUAGGCAAUAAGCACCUUGAUUUGAAAUGAAGAAAACAAAAGGAAAGACCAUUAAUAGUUAAAAAUUUUGUCACUCUUUAUUGCUCAAUUCUUACAACACGCUCCCUUUUGGCACUCCCCGUGAAAUGUCAAUAUUAUAUAGGGAUUGAAUUUCAAGUUUUCCCUUCUAUGAAAACAAUUUUAUAUAGAAUAAAUUGUAGGUUUUCAAAGUGAAAAUUUAUUGACACAAAACACGGGAAGUGUCUCAUAUGGAUGCCAUAUGGAAGGAAUUUCAAGUUAUCCUAAUCUAUGGAAAUAAUUUUGUAUAGAAGAAAUUGUAGGUUUUAAAAGUGGAAGUUUAUUGACACAAAACACGGGGAGUGUCCCAUAUGAAUGCUAAAGAGAAUGAAUUUCAACUUAUCUCAAUCUAUGGAAACAAUUUUGUAUAGAAGAAAUUGUAGGUUUUAAAAGUGACAGUUUAUUGACACAAAAUACGGGGAGUGUCCCAUAUGGAUGUGAAGGGAAGGAAUAUCAAGUUAUCGCAAUCUAUGGAAACAAUUUUAUAUAGAAGAAAUUGUAGGUUUUAAAAGUGAAAGUUUAUUUACACAAAACACAUGGAGUGUCUCAUAUGGAUGCUGAAGAAAUGAAUUUCAAGUUAUCUCAAUCUAUGGAAACAAUUUUAUAUAGAAGAAAUUGUAGGUUUUAAAAGUAAAAGUUUAUUUACACAAAACACAUGGAGUGUCUCAUAUGGAUAAUGAAAAAAUGAAUUUCAAGUUAUCUCAAUCUAUGGAAACAAUUUUGUAUAGAAGAAAUUGUAGGUUUUAAAAGUGAAAAUUUAUUGACACAAAACAUGGGGAGUGUCUCAUAUGAAUGCUGAAGGGAAGAAAUUUCAAGUUAUCCCAAUCUAUGAAAAUAAUUUUGUAUAGAAGAAAUUGUAGGUUUUAAAAAUGGAAGUUGUUUGUUUGUUGGUUUAUGUUUUAAGUAUAACAACAAUUAUAUUAUUAUUAUAUGUCCUUAUUAUAUAGUUGUGUUAUGUUAACAAUCAAUUGUCUAUGUGUUGUAUUUAAUCAGAUAAUACAAUCGCCCUCGCCCAUGCGUUGCAUGGUUCCUAACUAGAAUAAAUUGUAGGUUUUAAAAGUGAAAGUUUACUGACACAAAACACGGGGAGUGUCCCAUAUGGAUGCUGAAGGGAAUGAAUUUCAAGUUAUCUCAAUCUAUGGAAACGAUUUUGUAUAGAAUAAAUUGUAGGUUUUAAAAGUGAAAGUUUAUUGACACAAAACACGGGGAGUGUCCCAUAUGGAUGCUGAAGGGAAUGAAUUUCAAGUUAUCUCAAUCUAUGGAAACAAUUUUGUAUAGAAAAAAUUGUAGGUUUUUAAAGUGACAGUUUAUUGACACAAAAUACGGGGAGUGUCUCAUAUGGAUGCUGAAGGGAAGGAAUUUCAAGUUAUCUCAACCUAUGGAAACAACUUUAUAUAGAAGAAAUUGUAGGUUUUAAAAGUGGAAGUUGUUUGUUUGUUGGUUUAUGUUCUAAGUAUAACAACAAUUAUAUUAUUACAUGUCUUUAUUAUAUGGUUGUGUCAUGUUAACAACCAAUUAUCUAAUUGCUGUAUUUAAUCAGAUAAUACAAUCGUCAUCGCCCGUGCGUUGCACGGGUUCCUAACUAGUUCUUCACAUAUAAGCACCUAUUUCGACCCAAAAUUCAUUACCAAUAUAUACUAUGAUCAUACAUACUUAAAAUCACUUAAAAACAACUUAAUCAUCAUGUAUAAUCACUUAUUUUAUGGAUUUAAGCUCAAAAUCACAAAUCCAAUUGAAAUCAUCAUACAACAACAUCAAACAUCAAAGUGAGUAUUUUUAUCAUAUUAAAACACUCAAUAAUCAUGAUAGAACAAGUAGAAUCAUGAAUUAACACACAAAAGUUUUUAAUAAAUACAUUCCCAAAUCCCACAUACAAACCCCCAAUUGAGAUGGUGAGAGUUUGGACUAGAGAAAAUGAUUUUCUCUCCUCUCAUAAAUUCAUCUCCAAUAAUUAUGUUACUAUCCUCUUACCUUAGCUAUGAUGGAUUCUUUAGUCUUUUUCUUCAAUCCCUAAGCUUUUGUUCUUCCUCUCUUGGUUUUUCUUUCAAUCUCACGUUCUUCUUUU
This 8708-nucleotide long non-coding RNA is filed under the name Trifolium pratense (red clover). RNAcentral's name for it is "long non-coding RNA (TPRA_LNC000902)". The record is from RNAcentral. Lineage: Eukaryota; Viridiplantae; Streptophyta; Magnoliopsida; Fabales; Fabaceae.